RNAcentral lists this small nuclear RNA (107 nucleotides) under Propithecus coquereli (Coquerel's sifaka). Lineage: Eukaryota; Metazoa; Chordata; Mammalia; Primates; Indriidae. The record is from RNAcentral.
GUGUUUACUUUGGCAGUACAUAUACUAAAAUUGGAAUGCUACAGAGAAGAUUAGCAUGGUCCCUGUGUAAGGAUGGCACACAAAUUCGCGAAGCAUUCCGUAUUUUU